RNAcentral lists this ribosomal RNA (508 nucleotides) under uncultured bacterium. RNAcentral describes it as "partial 16S ribosomal RNA". It matches the Rfam family "Bacterial small subunit ribosomal RNA", at positions 28 to 523 of the family's 1533-position model. The record is from RNAcentral.
GAUGAACGCUAGCUACAGGCUUAACACAUGCAAGUCGAGGGGAAACGACAUCGGAAGCUUGCUUUUGAUGGGCGUCGACCGGCGCGCGGGUGAGUAACGCGUAUCCAACCUGCCCACCACUUGGGGAUAACCUUGCGAAAGUAAGACUAAUACCCAAUGAUAUCUCUAGAAGACAUCUGAAAGAGAUUAAAGAUUUAUCGGUGAUGGAUGGGGAUGCGUCUGAUUAGCUUGUUGGCGGGGUAACGGCCCACCAAGGCUACGAUCAGUAGGGGUUCUGAGAGGAAGGUCCCCCACAUUGGAACUGAGACACGGUCCAAACUCCGACGGGAGGCAGCAGGGAGGAAUAUUGGUCAAUGGACGGGAGUCUGAACCAGCCAAGUAGCGUGCAGGAUGACGGCCCUAUGGGUUGUAAACUGCUUUUAUAAGGGAAUAAAGUGAGUCUCGUGAGACUUUUUGCAUGUACCUUAUGAAUAAGGACCGGCUAAUUCCGUGCCAGCCGCCGCCGUAA